CGGGGCGUAGCUUAGCCCGGUAGAGCGCGUGCUUCGGGAGCACGAGGUCGCAGGUUCGAAUCCUGUCGCCCCGA
Molecule: transfer RNA, 74 nt
Filed under: Gemmatimonas phototrophica
Lineage: Bacteria; Pseudomonadati; Gemmatimonadota; Gemmatimonadia; Gemmatimonadales; Gemmatimonadaceae
Also listed under: 4 other names
Rfam family: tRNA
About the family: Transfer RNA (tRNA) molecules are approximately 80 nucleotides in length. Their secondary structure includes four short double-helical elements and three loops (D, anti-codon, and T loops).
Source: Rfam by way of RNAcentral